GACGAACGCUGGCGGCGUGCUUAACACAUGCAAGUCGAACGGAAAGGCCCUGCUUUUGUGGGUUGCUCGAGUGGCGAACGGGUGAGUAACACGUGAGUAACCUGCCCUUGACUUUGGGAUAACUUCAGGAAACUGGGGCUCAUACCGGAUAGGAGCUCCUGCUGCAUGGUGGUGGUUGGAAAGUUUCGGCGGUUGGGGCUGGACUCGCGGCUUAUCAGCUUGUUGGUGGGGUAGUGGCUUACCAAGGCUUUGACGGGUAGCGGGCCUGAGAGGGUGACCGGCCACAUUGGGACUGAGAUACGGCCGAGACUCCUACGGGAGGCAGCAGUGGGGAAGAUUGCACAAUGGGCGGAAGCCUGAUGAAGCAACGCCGCGUGCGGGAUGACGCCCUUCGGGUUGUAAACCGCUUUCGCCUGUGACGAAGCGUGAGUGACGGUAAUGGGUAAAGAAGCACCGGCUAACUACGU
Molecule: ribosomal RNA, 467 nt
Filed under: uncultured bacterium
Lineage: Bacteria
Description: partial 16S ribosomal RNA
Rfam family: Bacterial small subunit ribosomal RNA
Source: RNAcentral